AGCGAACGCUGGCGGCAGGCCUAACACAUGCAAGUCGAACGAAUUCUUCGGAGUUAGUGGCGGACGGGUGAGUAACACGUGGGAACGUGCCUUUUGGUUCGGAAUAACUCAGGGAAACUUGUGCUAAUACCGAAUGUGCCCCUCGGGGGAAAGAUUUAUCGCCAUUAGAGCGGCCCGCGUCUGAUUAGCUAGUUGGUGAGGUAACGGCUCACCAAGGCGACGAUCAGUAGCUGGUCUGAGAGGAUGACCAGCCACACUGGGACUGAGACACGGCCCAGACUCCUACGGGAGGCAGCAGUGGGGAAUCUUGCGCAAUGGGCGAAAGCCUGACGCAGCCAUGCCGCGUGAAUGAUGAAGGUCUUAGGAUUGUAAAAUUCUUUCACCGGGGACGAUAAUGACGGUACCCGGAGAAGAAGCCCCGGCUAACUUCGUG
This 433-nucleotide ribosomal RNA is filed under the name uncultured bacterium. Its description in RNAcentral is "partial 16S ribosomal RNA". It matches the Rfam family "Bacterial small subunit ribosomal RNA", at positions 29 to 507 of the family's 1533-position model. The record is from RNAcentral.